GCAACGGUCGGACCCUCCCCCCUCCUCCCCCCCCCCACACACACGCACACGCGCGUUCAACUACGUGGGCUUUCUCUUCCUCCUCACGUUUCCUUCGAAGCCUAUGGAGUCACGCAUCCACAUGCCCGCUGCGCCGCAUCGCCAGAGCAGCGCUCCUCCAUCUUCAUUUCUGCCACCCGAGCCGCUGUGUGUAGCGGACAUUCUGUCGGAGCUGCUUCCUUUCCUCCUCGCGGCGCCGCAGCCACGUGACGGAUGCUCACCAAGCAGCUCUGCCCAGGAACCUGCUGAGGAUCCGGUCCUCCCCAUCCCACCAACCGUUGCCAGUGAGCAUCGUGUGCAGGUGUCGAUCCGUGGUCAGCGCUACGAGACGGCGAUGGAGGUGGCCCUCACGUACUCCCUCUUCUUCUUUGUGUUCUUUCACUGGCCCUUCAGUGAGGAGGACGAAGGCAGUGAUGCAGCAGGGUGCACGAAUGACGUCGCCGACGUGAAGCGGGCGCCGCGAAGUGUCGGCGACGCCGUUAUGGCCGCCGCCGCUGCGCGAGACUUGCCGAAAGAGACCCAACUGCUGCGCCACUACACCCGCGUUGUGGAACCCGUGCUUCGCGUCUUCCUUGACCACUGGGCCGCACCGCUGGACGCCGCAGCAGCGGCACAAACAGAGGGAGAAAGCGCUGCCAGUGCAGAGACGGAGGAGGCGGGUGAUGCGGCGCGGCUGCCGCUUCUUCCGCCGCUGCCGCAUCCCGUCCGCAUCGCCUACGACGCCUCCACGCGUGUGUGGAAGUUUGAGUUUGCCGCGCGGCUCACGGCAGAGGCAGCGGCGGAGGCGCGCUCUGGGCGUCAGUGUGGUGAUAGCGGCGCAGCCGUGUCACUGGCCGCCGCCGAUGGGUGCGCCGCCGUAGCGACCGACGAGCUCAACAACAGUCCCUUUCUCCUGCUCCAGAGCGAGUACAUGGGACUGCUGCUGGUGUUCCUGCGCCGGUGUGCCAAGGUACGCGCGGAGAGGCGGGCCGCAGGUGAAGGUGCUGCGGGCUGCACCGUGGCACCGUACCCCUCCCUGCCCAUCCGCUGGGCGGAGAUGAACUACGACGAACAGCUAUCCGUUGUCCAGCUUAUUCGGCGCUUCGGCGUGGUAUCGCUGGCGCGCACGUACACGCAUCCGACGGCACCCGUGACCACGUCGCUGUACAUUGGUGCGGAGGCGGCGGCGGCGACGGCCCGGGCAAAGGCGGAGGGGGAAGCCUGCUCGCUGCGCGCGCGCGCCUCAGAGUCCAUCGGCAAGCAGCAACAGGAAAUACAGCAGGCGGCGAGCGUCGCUGUGGACACCGCCGAAGUGGUCAAGAAGAAGCGGUGCAUCGACGAGGAUGACUUUGAUGGACUCGUGCUAUCCGCAAAGGGAUGCGCGCGAUGUGGCAUGGCUGAGCAUUCCACGGAGGAGUGCCACUUCUAAGCGAAAAGCGGAUCACGACACACACACACACACACACACACACACACACACACAUGUGAGGAGAGGCGAAUACAUAGGAUGGGACGCAGGAGCUGGUGGUAAUGAUGGCAG
Molecule: unclassified non-coding RNA, 1558 nt
Filed under: Leishmania donovani
Lineage: Eukaryota; Euglenozoa; Kinetoplastea; Trypanosomatida; Trypanosomatidae
Description: gene:LdHU3.09.1530(CDS-product:hypothetical_prote in_conserved)
Source: RNAcentral